RNAcentral lists this ribosomal RNA (532 nucleotides) under uncultured Nocardioides sp. RNAcentral describes it as "bacterial SSU rRNA". It matches the Rfam family "Bacterial small subunit ribosomal RNA", at positions 355 to 897 of the family's 1533-position model. Lineage: Bacteria; Bacillati; Actinomycetota; Actinomycetes; Propionibacteriales; Nocardioidaceae. The record is from RNAcentral.
UGGGGAAUAUUGGACAAUGGGCGGAAGCCUGAUCCAGCAACGCCGCGUGAGGGAUGACGGCCUUCGGGUUGUAAACCUCUUUCAGUACCGACGAAGCGUGAGUGACGGUAGGUACAGAAGAAGCACCGGCCAACUACGUGCCAGCAGCCGCGGUAAUACGUAGGGUGCGAGCGUUGUCCGGAAUUAUUGGGCGUAAAGGGCUCGUAGGCGGUUUGUCGCGUCGGGAGUGAAAACACCGGGCUUAACUCGGUGCUUGCUUUCGAUACGGGCAGACUAGAGGUAUGCAGGGGAGAACGGAAUUCCUGGUGUAGCGGUGAAAUGCGCAGAUAUCAGGAGGAACACCGGUGGCGAAGGCGGUUCUCUGGGCAUGACCUGACGCUGAGGAGCGAAAGUGUGGGGAGCGAACAGGAUUAGAUACCCUGGUAGUCCACACCGUAAACGUUGGGCGCUAGGUGUGGGGCCUAUUCCAUGGGUUCCGUGCCGCAGCUAACGCAUUAAGCGCCCCGCCUGGGGAGUACGGCCGCAAGGCUAA